Long non-coding RNA from Passer domesticus (house sparrow), 2456 nucleotides. RefSeq lists it as uncharacterized. The record is from RefSeq and is a predicted model, not a curated record. Lineage: Eukaryota; Metazoa; Chordata; Aves; Passeriformes; Passeridae. The transcript is spliced from 6 exons.
AUUUUACUGUUUUCAGUCCCUCAGUGGUUUUGUACCUCACCACAGUUCCUCCAGGUGUCUCUGCUGUGCACCUAGAGGAAGCAGACAUUCCACAGUGCGUGUGUGUAUGUGUUCUUGUGGAAACAAGGUUCUGGAAUUCUCCAGUCUGCACUGCAACUCUGUGGUUCCAAGAUCAUCUACAACUCAGGUCAAGUGAAACAAGACAAGCAGAUGAGAGGAGAUCAAGUGAUUAGCACAGGGCUUUCCCAGUAAAGUACUUGGUGACCUUGUCUGGAGAGAUCCUUUUGAAAAGGUGUAGGUAACAAAGCCAUGGACAGCCAUGGUGUGAAGCCUCUUCAGCAACAAAACAUGGUGCAAGCACAAAAGUGCCUGAACAGAGAUGCUUCUCCAGUGCCGUCCAUUUUCAGCUGAUGAAGACAGUGAAAAUCUCAGAAAUCACAGCUUCAGACCCUCUGCUGCUAGGAUGUCAGGGUCCUCUCUUUCAGUGGCUCCUCACACAAAGGUGAAUACUUACUUCCUUAAAAAGCUCACUAACAAAUCCAUGACUAUAUGGCAAAGAUAUAACGAUCACAGAAAAAGGAAGACCUGGAGGAAAAGGAAAUUCAGUAGGAUGUUUCUAAAUGAAAAUGUGAGCCAGUGAACCUAAUCUCCAUGGGUUUCUUCUAUAGGUUCCAAAGUAAAAACAGACGCUACUCUGAAAACAGUAAAGACUUCAUCACAGAAGCCAAGACAGCAUUUCAACCAGGGAACACACAGAGAACUCACACCCCACUGAGAUGUCUGACUGCUCCUUAUUCCUGCUGAUUUGUAUCCAGUAGAGCAUAUAAGCAACUUAACCAGUUGAUUCCUCUGCUGAGACCGUUUUCCUGAAUUACAAGGGAAAAAAAAAACAGGGAAGAGAGAAGUAAGAAAAAAUAUACAUAAAGAAAAAACACAUAAAGAAAAAAUUAGAUAUGCAUUGGAAAGAAUAUAUAAAUGCCAAAUUCAAAAAUAGCUUAUAGAAUGGCAUCCUUUCUAAUUGCUUAACCAUUUCUCACAUCCUUUAAAUUGAUGUGGAUUCUGUUGAGGAAUUUAAAAAAUCCUAAUUUAACUCCACCAUAAAUAAAUUAAAGCAACAAGCAAAUUAACUGUAGUUUGUUCUAUAUUUGAUGUAAACCUUUCAAAUUUCCAUCAUGUUACUUAGGACAGAAUUUAUUAUUUAAUUACACAUAAAGAAUGGCAUGAGGCACAUAAUAGUAAUGGGGAGUGACAAGUGACUCAAUGAUCUUCAAACUUCUUCUAAAGCAGAGAAUAUUUAUUAUAUAUUAUUAUAUCUAUUAUGGGAUGAUUAUUAUUACAUUUAUUAGAAUAUAAAAGUACUAUUAAACUGUUGCAAAACUGACACUAAUUGCUAAUUCUGUGUCUGUGAUCUGUCAAGAGUUGAGCUGUUUCAGGAUACAAAUGCAGGCACUUUUUUGCCAGUCCUACCUGCAAAACUCCAUAUAAAGGGUAUAUAUGGGACAAAUUUCCCAGACUAAGCCAUGGGGAAGAUGGUACAGCUGGCAAUUCUCUUCAGUUUAGCAGAACAGAGUACAGUAUAUAGGAAAUCAGUUCCUCUUCAUUCCCUUGCCAAAGAGGUUCUUAAAUUUCCAUACUACAUGAAUCAUAUGAGAUUGAUGUUUUGCUUAAUAAAGCCACUUUAUUUCAGUGACAUUUGAAAACUGAGGAUUGUGUACAACCAGGAAUAGCAUUUAUAGAAUUACCUUUUAUGAGUCUUCAUACUCAAUAGUUCAAAAAGUACUUUUUCAAAGAUAUUAGUUUCAUAUUGAUGUACAAAGGACCACAGGUAUGCCCAGGAUAUUUUUCUAGCCAGUAUCAGGACCAAAAGUAACACCCCACCUUCAGUGCUGACCUGCUGCACUGAGACUGGACAGACAGCCCUUGCAGAACCUUCCCCUCUGGGCCAUGUGGUGUGUGCAAGAUGUUGGAUAACUAGCAAUCAAAAGGUUUUAAUGAGAGUAGUGAAGACUGAAAAUUUUGUUUUGUGUUAGACUUCUGAAUUUCAACAAUUGUUUUCAAACUCGGAAAAGAUUUCAUUUUAGUAAUGUUUAAUGUUUUAUUUUUUUAAUGAAAAUUUUAAAGUGUAUUGUUGUUCUUUUGUAAUGUUUUGCUUUUUAAUGGAAACUUAGACAUUCAUUAAAAGAAAAAAACAAAGUAUUUUUUUUCAAGAAGGCUGAAAAGGAAAUAGUUUUAGAGCAGUGAUUGUCAAUGCUUAUGUUUCAAUGGAGAUGCAUGAAAAAGAUAAUCUUUUAUUAACCUACAGUUUAUAGUGCUGAAGAUUUGCUACUGCAAACACAUUCAGGAAUCCGGUUGUAGGCAAUAAUCAAGAUUUGCAAAGCCAGCUGAGGAAUGCAGGUCUGCAAAUUUCGUGGAAGGUCUACAAGUUUGAUGGAAGUCAUGCAGCAAAAUAGCUCAAA